GCACGCAAAUUACCCACUCCCGGCACGGGGAGGUAGUGACAAAAAAUAACGAUACGGGACUCAUCCGAGGCCCCGUAAUCGGAAUGAGUACACUUUAAAACAUUUAACAAGUACCAAAUGGAGGGCAAGUCUGGUGCCAGCAGCCGCGGUAAUUCCAGCUCCAUUAGCGUAUAUUAAAGUUGUUGCGGUUAAAAAGCUCGUAGUUGGUUCUGUGUCCCGCGCUGCCGGUUCACCGCCUGCCGGUGCAACUGGCAUGCCGCGGGAUGUACUGUCGGUGGCGUCCCCCAUCCCCGGCGCGUGUAGGCUAACGCCGAAGCGCGCCGGUGCGCGUGAGGGACGCCGAUCUAAUCCUGCCGCGGUGCUCUUCAGUGAGUGUCGAGGUAGGCCGACACGUUUACUUUGAACAAAUUAGAGUGCUUAAAGCAGGCUAACAAUGCCUGUAUACCUGGGCAUGGAAUAAUGGAAUAGGACCUCGGUUCUAUUUUGUUGGUUUCCUGAACCCGAGGUAAUGAUCAAUAUGGACAGGCGGGGGCAUUCGUAUUGCGACGUUAGACUUGGCAAAUGCUUUCGCGGUGAAAUUCUUGGAUCGUCGCAAGACGGACUAGAGCGAAAGCAUUUGCCAAGUAUGUCUUAGUUGAUCAAGAACGAAAGUUAGAGGUUCGAAGGCGAUCAGAUACCGCCCUAGUUCUAACCAUAAACGAUGCCAGCCAGCGAUCCGCCGAUGUUCCUCCGAUGACUCGGCGGGCAGCUUCCCGGGAAACCAAAGCUUUUGGGUUCCGGGGGAAGUAUGGUUGCAAAGCUGAAACUUAAAGGAAUUGACGGAAGGGCACCACCAGGAGUGGAGCCUGCGGCUUAAUUUGACUCAACACGGGAAACCUCACCAGGCCCAGACAUUGGAAGGAUUGACAGAUUGAUAGCUCUUUCUUGAUUCAGUGGGUAGUGGUGCAUGGCCGUUCUUAGUUGGUGGAACGAUUUGUCUGGUUAAUUCCGAUAACGAACGAGACUCUAGCCUACUAAAUAGGCGGAACCGGUAUCCCUAUCUACCGGCGAGUCCAAUUCUUCUU
Molecule: ribosomal RNA, 1064 nt
Filed under: Limnocoris moapensis
Lineage: Eukaryota; Metazoa; Arthropoda; Insecta; Hemiptera; Naucoridae
Description: bacterial SSU rRNA
Rfam family: Eukaryotic small subunit ribosomal RNA
Source: RNAcentral